This 254-nucleotide ribosomal RNA is filed under the name uncultured bacterium. RNAcentral's name for it is "partial 16S ribosomal RNA". It matches the Rfam family "Bacterial small subunit ribosomal RNA", at positions 524 to 776 of the family's 1533-position model. The record is from RNAcentral.
CACGUAGGGUGCGAGCGUUGUCCGGAAUUAUUGGGCGUAAAGAGCUCGUAGGCGGUGUGUCGCGUCGGCCGUGAAAACUUGGGGCUUAACUCUGAGCGUGCGGUCGAUACGGGCAUCACUUGAGUUCGGCAGGGGAGACUGGAAUUCCUGGUGUAGCGGUGAAAUGCGUAGAUAUCAGGAGGAACACCGGUGGCGAAGGCGGCUCCCUGGACAGAAACUGACGCUCAUGCACGAAAGCUAGGGGAGCAAACAGG